Molecule: ribosomal RNA, 242 nt
Filed under: uncultured bacterium
Lineage: Bacteria
Description: partial 16S ribosomal RNA
Rfam family: Bacterial small subunit ribosomal RNA
Source: RNAcentral
AGUACAACAUAGGAAAUCUGCCUUAGGGUGGGGGACAACAGAGGGAAACUUCUGCUAAUACCCCAUAUGAGCUUGGUUGAAAUACCAAUCUUGAAAGUUCCGGCGCCCUAAGAUGAGCCUGUGCCUGAUUAGCUAGUUGGUGGUGUAAUGGACUACCAAGGCGACGAUCAGUAGCUGGUUUGAGAGGAUGAUCAGCCACAAUGGGACUGAGACACGGCCCAUACUCCUACGGAAGGCAGCAG